GCUAAAAGUGGUGCGGGGGAUGUCAUGCGGGACUGCCGGUUUGAGCCGGAGGAAGGUGGGGACGACGCCAGGCCAGCAUGGCCCUUAUGCCCUGGGCUGCACACGUGGAACAAUGGCGGCUACAAAGGGUUGCCAAGCCGUAAGGCGGAGCUAAUCCCUUAAAAGCCGCCCCAGUUCGGAUCGGGGUCUGCAACUCGACCCCGUGAAGCAGGAAUCGCUAGUAACCGGAAAUCAGCCAUGUUCCGGUGAAUACGUUCCCGAGCCCUGUACUCACCGCCCGUCACGCCAAGCGAGCCGGUAACAGGCGAAACCCAGCGGAAGCUGGACUAGCCUGGGACCGGUGAGAGGGGCGAAGUCGUAACAAGGUACGGGUACCGGAAGGUGCCCGUGGAUCACUCAUAAGGGAAGGGGUAAAACCCCAACCGCUCUGGGAAGGGCCCGCGGCCUAUCAGGUAGUUGGUGGGGUAAUGGCCCACCAAGCCUAUGACGGGUAGGUGGCCUGAGAGGGUGGCCGCCGCCAGGGGCACUGAGACACGGGCCCCACUCCUACGGGAGGCAGCAGCCGAGAAUAUUGGGCAAUGGGGGAAACCCUGACCCAGCGACGCCGCGUGGGGGAAGAAGGCCUUCGGGUUGUAAACCCCUUUUCUGCGGGAGCAACCCCCCAGAUGUAUAUCUGGGGGGUGAGAGUACCGCAGGAAUAAGUGGCUGCCAAUCACGUGCCAGCAGCAGCGGUAAUACGUGAGCCACAAGCGUUAGCCGGAUUUACUGGGCGUAAAGGGUACCGUAGGCGGUCAAGCAAGUCUCAGGUUAAAGACCUCGGGCUCAACCUGAGGAAUGCCUGAGAUACUGUUUGACUAGAGGGCGGUAGAGGCCGGUGGAACUGCCGGUGUAGGGGUGAAAUCCGUUGAUAUCGGCAGGAACGCCGAAAGCGAAGGCAGCCGGCUGGGCCGACCCUGACGCUGAGGGACGAAAGCGUGGGGAGCAAAGGGGAUUAGAUACCCCUGUAGUCCACGCCCUAAACGAUGGGCACUAGCUGCCUGCAGUGUCGACCCUGUGGGUGGCGAAGCUUACGCGUUAAGUGCCCCGCCUGGGAAGUACGCUCGCAAGGGUGAAACUCAAAGGAAUAGACGGGGGCUCGCACAAGCGGUGGUCCAUGUGGCUCAAUCCGACGACAACCGUGGAACCUUACCAGGGCUUGACAUGCCAGUGAAACCUGCGGGAAACCGUGGGGUUCCACAAGGACACUGGCACAGGUGCUACAUGGCCGUCGUCAGCAGGUACCGUGAGGCGCAAGCUUAGAUGCCAAAACCUGCGCAACCCUCGCCGCAUGUUUGCCCCCGCACCACUUUUGGU
RNAcentral lists this ribosomal RNA (1353 nucleotides) under Parcubacteria bacterium GBS-2. RNAcentral describes it as "bacterial SSU rRNA". The stretch from base 282 to 1353 matches the Rfam family "Bacterial small subunit ribosomal RNA", at positions 1 to 1136 of the family's 1533-position model. Lineage: Bacteria; Candidatus Parcubacteria. The record is from RNAcentral.